This 484-nucleotide ribosomal RNA is filed under the name uncultured bacterium. Its description in RNAcentral is "partial 16S ribosomal RNA". It matches the Rfam family "Bacterial small subunit ribosomal RNA", at positions 30 to 507 of the family's 1533-position model. The record is from RNAcentral.
AUUGAACGCUGGCGGCAUGCCUAACACAUGCAAGUCGAACGGUUAAAGGGCGCUUGCUCCUGGAGUCAGCGGCGCGCGGGUGUGAAAUGCCUAGGAAUCUGCCUGGGAGGGGGGGAUAACGUCCGGAAACGUGCGCUAAUACCACAUGCGUCCUGAGGGAAAAAGUGGGGGAUCUUCGGACCUCACGCUCUGAGCUGAGCCUGGGUCGGAUUAGCUAGUUGGUGGGGUAAAGGCCUACCAAGGCGACGAUCCGUAACUGGUCUGAGAGGAUGAUCAGCCACACUGGAACUGAGACACGGCCCAGACUCCUACGGGAGGCAGCAGUGGGGAAUGGUGGACAAUGGGCGAAAGCCUGAUCCAGCCAUGCCGCGUGUGUGAAGGAGGUCUUCGGAUUGUAAAGUACUUUUAGUGGGGAGGAAGGGCAGUAAGCUAAUACCGAGCGGUUAUGACGGUACCUACAGAAUAAGCACCGGCUAACUACGUG